Molecule: small nuclear RNA, 317 nt
Filed under: Erinaceus europaeus (western European hedgehog)
Lineage: Eukaryota; Metazoa; Chordata; Mammalia; Eulipotyphla; Erinaceidae
Description: 7SK RNA
Rfam family: 7SK RNA
About the family: 7SK was discovered as an abundant small nuclear RNA in the mid-70s but a possible function has only recently been suggested. Two independent studies have found that 7SK RNA binds the CDK9/cyclin T complex (known as elongation factor P-TEFb).
Source: Rfam by way of RNAcentral
GGAUGUGAGGGUGAUCUGGCUGCGACAUCUGUCACCCCAUUGAUCGCCAGGGUUGAUCCAGCUGAUCUGGCUGGCUAGGCGGUGUCCCCUUCCUCCCUCACCGCUCCAUGUGCAUCCCUCCUGAAGCUGCGCGCUCUGGUCGAAGAGGACAGCCUUCCCCAAUAGAGAUGGACCGGUCUUCGGUCGAGGGUAUACGAGUAGCUGCGCUCCCCCGCUAGAACAAUUCUAACAACAAGCUCUCAAAUAUAUAGAGGAAGAUAGAAUAUCUAGUUGGUAAAAUCAGCUAAUACAUAUUUCUUUAUGUGAAUCUUUAUAUU